This 253-nucleotide ribosomal RNA is filed under the name uncultured bacterium. Its description in RNAcentral is "partial 16S ribosomal RNA". It matches the Rfam family "Bacterial small subunit ribosomal RNA", at positions 524 to 776 of the family's 1533-position model. The record is from RNAcentral.
UACGUAGGGACCAAGCGUUGUUCGGAUUUACUGGGCGUAAAGGGCGCGUAGGCGGCUUAACAAGUCACUUGUGAAAUCUCCGGGCUUAACUCGGAACGGCCAAGUGAAACUGUCAAGCUAGAGUGCAGAAGGGGCAAUCGGAAUUCUUGGUGUAGCGGUGAAAUGCGUAGAUAUCAAGAGGAACACCUGAGGUGAAGACGGGUUGCUGGGCUGACACUGACGCUGAGGCACGAAGGCCAGGGGAGCAAACGGG